RNAcentral lists this ribosomal RNA (1167 nucleotides) under Triticum aestivum (bread wheat). Its description in RNAcentral is "partial small subunit ribosomal RNA". The record is from RNAcentral. Lineage: Eukaryota; Viridiplantae; Streptophyta; Magnoliopsida; Poales; Poaceae.
AUGGAGGAAGCCACAGCACCAUCUUCGUAUGAAUCAUGUAGAAUGCCUCUAUCACAGUUGGCCAAAAAACACCUAUUUGAACCUGACACUAGUGAGAUAGCCAAUCCAGUGAUUACGAAGUUAGGCGUACCACACGGCCAUCCUGAGCUUGGACCACGUGGAUGGACGGCAGGGUCAUCUUUCUCAGCUCGUUGUUAUCAACCUCCCGCACCUGGGCCCAGACUAGGUGAAGCUUCAACCCUUGGGACACAUAUGAUAUCCAAAGGUUUAGGCUGGGAGAAUCAUGAGGUUGAAUAUGCCCCAAUGCCUCUUGGCUAUGUUGAAUGGGGUACUAAUGUCUUGAAGAAAUAUCAUACCCACCUGAAGGGGAGUGAAGAGGGCGUGGAUUACGUCUAUGGAGCCAUUUAUUUCUCUUUAGCCAACUAUUCUGUCUCCCCUCCUCUUUUAAGUUCUUUAUUGGAGAAAUGGGAUCCCAACACCAACACGUUUUUGUUCUCGUGUGGCGAGCGUACAGUCACACUUCUUGAUAUGCAUCAGAUCGCGGGGUUGCCCCUUGAUGGUGAACCUUACGAAGAAUAUGUUUCCCUAGCUGAUGAGCUGGAUCCUUCGACUCUUUUGUACCCCAACUUCCUGCCUCGGCUCCUAGAAACUUGGACCGAGCUUGAUGUGGGUGGCAAAGUAGGUUUCAAGGAAUGGUGUGACUUCUUUCACAAUAGUGGAGUAGACUUUGCUACCCAGAGCUUAGAAGACCAAUGCAUGUAUACUGCAGCUUUUCUCGCCAUAUGGCUUUACCGCUACGUCGUUGUUGGUGGUGGGCCAUAUAUUCGCCCUGGGGUAUUAGUGAUGGCGGCAUGGAUUUCCCUAGGACGACGCAUCUAUCUGGGCCCACCUGCUCUUUGCUCCCUUUAUUACUCACUUCGGCGAAUUUGUACUCAUCCUAUUGGUCCCUCGUUCAUACAUAGAAUUUGGCCAGUCCACUACCUUGCUGGAUGGAUGGGUGUGUACCUCAAGAAACCCUAUGGAAACAGAGCAAAAAUACCAUAUUUACCAAGCCCUAAACUUUUGGCACUACAACCUAAUAUGGUGAAAACCAUGUUUAUGACACCACGUCAUUUUACUCCUGAAGAAGCACAUGCUUUCCUCGAUGAUUAUAAGAAUAUUGCUUGA